UAAUACAGAGGGUGCAAGCGUUGUUCGGAAUUACUGGGCGUAAAGCGCGCGCAGGCGGAUCCUGUAAGUCGGAAGUGAAAUUUCGGGGCUCAACUCCGAAGCUGCUUCUGAUACUGCGGAUCUGGGGACCGGUAGAGGCUGGUGGAAUUGCAGGUGUAGCGGUGGAAUGCGUAGAGAUCUGCAAGAACACCCGUGGCGAAGGCGGCCAGCUGGGCCGGGUCCGACGCUGAGGCGCGAAAGCGUGGGGAGCAAACAGGAUUAGAUACCCUGGUAGUCCACGCCGUAAACGAUGGGCACUAGGUGCCGGGGGGAGCGACCCCUUCGGUGCCGCAGCUAACGCGAUAAGUGCCCCGCCUGGGGAGUACGGCCGCAAGGCUG
This 378-nucleotide ribosomal RNA is filed under the name uncultured bacterium. Its description in RNAcentral is "bacterial SSU rRNA". It matches the Rfam family "Bacterial small subunit ribosomal RNA", at positions 521 to 896 of the family's 1533-position model. The record is from RNAcentral.